RNA transcript from Trifolium pratense (red clover), 3111 nucleotides. It is a transcript of the gene named RNA polymerase I termination factor-like, with no coding region annotated. The transcript has 4 exons. Lineage: Eukaryota; Viridiplantae; Streptophyta; Magnoliopsida; Fabales; Fabaceae. The record is from RefSeq and is a predicted model, not a curated record.
CCCUUAAAACGCCUCUCGUUUCAGUGCUGAUUUGUUGCCGCGCGUAUUCCUUCUCCCACCCUCCGCCGCCGUCAGUCAGUUUGUUUCACCAUCUUCUCGUUUCAAUUGAGCUUCCAUUAAUAUUCAAGUGUUUAUUCUGCUGUCAUUGGAGGAGAGGGGCUCAUAACGAAGAUGGAGACUCUGAGCAAGAAAAACAAAAGAACUGAAGACAAAGAGAGCGAAACCAACGGAGGUGAUUCACAUAUGUCUGAAAGCAAUGCAGUUGAUGAUCUUCCUUUGGCCAAAAGUAAUGAUUAUCAACAUUUGGUCGAAAGCAAUAAAAGUGAAGAUGGCAAGCAGGGCAAGAAGAAAAAUAAAAAGAAGAAAACGAGUGAAGAAAGCAAAGAUAAGGAGUAUAAGGAGUUGAAAAGCAACGAAUGUGAAGAUGAUAACCAAGGAAAGAAGAUAAAAAAGAAGCAGAUGCUAAUUGAAGGAAACACACCGAAGGAGUGUAAUGACUUUAGGAGCAAUGUAGAUGAAGAUGGAAAGCAAGACAAAAAGGUGAAGAAAAAGAAGAAGAAACUAAGUGAAGAAUGCAUACAUAAGGAGUUCGAAAGCAAUGAAUGUGAAGAUGAUAACCAAGGAAAGAUGAAAAAGAAGCAGAAGCUAAUUGAAGGAAACACACUAAAGGAGGGUAAUGACUUUAGAAGCAAUGGAGAUGAAGAUGGCAAGCAAGACAAAAAGAUGAAGAAAAAGAAGAAACUAAACGAAGAAAGCAACCAUACGGAGUAUAACGAGCGCAAUAGCAAUGAAUGUGAAGAUGAUAACCAAGGAAAGAAGAUGAAAAAAAAGCAGAAGUUAAUUGAAGGAAACUUUGGAAGCAAUGGAGGCGAAGAUGGUGAGCAAGACAAGAAGAUGAAGAAAAAGAAACUAAGUGAAGAAAGUAAACAUAAGGAGCGUAAUGAGUUCAAAAGCAAUGGAUGUGAAGAUGACCAAGGCAAGAAGAUGAAAAAGAAGCGGAAACUAGUGGAAGGAAACACACUUAAUGAGUGUAAUGACUCUAGAAGCAAUGAAUGUGAAGAUGGUGAGCAAGACAAGAUGAAGAAAAAGAAAAAGAAACUAAGUGAAGAAAGUAAACAUAAGGAGCGUAAUGAGUUCAAAAGCAAUGAAUGCGAAGAUGACCAAGGGAAGAAGAUGAAAAAGAAGCGGAAACUAAUGGAAGGAAACACACUUAAUGAGUGUAAUGACUCUAGAAGCAAUGAAUGUGAAGAUGGUGAGCAAGACAAAAAGAUGAAGAAAAAGAAAAAGAAGCCAAGUGAAGAAAGUAAACAUAAGGAGUCUAGCGAGUUUAAAAGCAAUGAAGGGAAACACAAACGAGUAACUUUUUCUGAUGAAGUAGAGACGUUUUGUUGUGAUGGCUUAGUGCGUGGGAAAAGGUUUUCACCUGAAGAAGACGAGACACUCAAAGCAUCUGUUUUUGCCUAUAUAGAUUCUCAUGGUCUGGGUGAAGAAGGUCUGGAUAAGGUUCUCCAUGCCAGGUUACACAGUGAAGUUAGAGGCUGUUGGAAAGAAAUUGCACAAGCCCUACCUCAUAGGCCCCUGUAUAGUGUGUAUCAACGUGCUCAUGCUUUGUUGGAAAAUGUUGGGAGAUGUAAGUGGACACCUGACGAGCUUGAAUUUAUACGGAAGUCCUACGAGCAACAUGGACCUGAUUGGAGGUUAAUAGCUGAUGCUUUGGGUAAAAGUCGGGAUCAGGUAAAAGAUUUGUGGCGCAGAUUAAAAUAUAAGAAAGCGAGACAUGGACAUUGGUCCCAAGAGGAGUAUCAAACUUUAUUUAAUUUAGUAAACAUGGAUCUGCGCGCAAGGUCUUUAGAGCCUUUUAGAAAAUCACAACAUGGUAUGUUGCGAGAUAAUAUUUGUUGGGAGGCAAUUGGUCACAAAUUGGAAACCCGAAACAGUGCAUAUUGCUGCAAGAAGUGGUAUGAGGAGUUAACAUCAACAAUGGUUGCUCGUGGUGAAUGGUGUGAUACUGACGACUUCCGCUUGAUAGAUGCUUUAUAUACUUUGGAUGCUUGCUGCAUGGAGGAGGUAGAGUGGGACGAGCUACUUGAGCAUAGGUCUGGUGAUGCAUGCAGAAAACGAUGGGAGCAAAUGGUUCAACAUCUUGGGGAGCAUGCAAGGAAGCCAUUUAUGGAGCAGGUUGAAGUUCUUACAAAGAGAUUCUGCCCUGACUUGUUGGAAGCAAGAGAAACCUUUGACAACAAACCUGUGACUUGUUGAUGUUUCUAACCAACAAAAUGAUUUUGAGCCAUAAUUUCAGCCAUGGUAAUACCAAGAAGAAAAGAUGAAGUAAUUGAUAUGAAGGCUCAUAUAGCAUAACCGUCACUUCUAUUUUUCAUUUGAAUCUUGCAUCUGGGAGGAAUCCAGGAAACGUCUUCAGCUCCUUUUUGAUUUCCUUGGUAAAAAACAUAUAAGCUACGUCAGUGUGAUAGGUAUAUCAGAAAGAUACUGAUUGAACAAGUAAAUUUUGUUAGGCGAACUGCUUCUGCAAUAAGCUAGGUCAGUGUGAUAUCUUUUGAAAAUUAUUUAUAAGUUAGAGACAUCCCUUAUCAUACAAAUCAAUUUUGUGAAGUUGAGUUAGACUCAACCCAAGUUGUAACAAUUUUCAUUGCCGAACACUCCAGAACUUGUCGGAUGGAACGGUCAAUAUUCGUGUACAAUAUGUUUCAAUUUUACGUGCAAUUCUUACCAAUGUGAAUGCCGAUUUGAGAAUGUAAAAAGAGUGUUAUGCAGUGAAGCAAGCUCUGAAGAAAUGAGUACCGAGCUUUCGGACACCUAAGUUGAUCCGGCUCUAUGGGAAAUUAGUGGCCACAUGAAGUGUUGAAGAGGAAUAAAGAAGAGCUAUGAUGAGGGAUUUGAAGCCAUUGCUUGGAGGCUUCUUGCAGAGAUUUUGCUAUACUUUUUCAGUUCCAAUCUGUACUUGUUAUGGUGGAUUUAUGUUUACAUAGUUGUUUUUUAGAAUCUUGACCAAAAUAAAGAUGUUAUUUAAACUCAAAAUUGUUUCAUGUUGGUUUUUUCAAAUAUGUUCUGGUUCUAUUAAAUUGUACAGUUAUUUCAGUUCUUUCUUUGUAC